Molecule: ribosomal RNA, 301 nt
Filed under: uncultured bacterium
Lineage: Bacteria
Description: partial 16S ribosomal RNA
Rfam family: Bacterial small subunit ribosomal RNA
Source: RNAcentral
CAGUAGCCGCGGUAAUACCGAGGGUGCGAGCGUUAAUCGGAUUUACUGGGCGUAAAGCGUGCGUAGGCGGCUAAUUGAGUCGGAUGUGAAAUCCCCGAGCUUAACUUGGGAAUUGCAUUCGAUACUGGUUAGCUAGAGUGUGGGAGAGGAUGGUAGAAUUCCAGGUGUAGCGGUGAAAUGCGUAGAGAUCUGGAGGAAUACCGAUGGCGAAGGCAGCCAUCUGGCCUAACACUGACGCUGAGGUACGAAAGCAUGGGGAGCAAACAGGAUUAGAUACCCCGGUAGUCCCUGUCUCUUAUAU